RNAcentral lists this ribosomal RNA (465 nucleotides) under uncultured bacterium. RNAcentral describes it as "partial 16S ribosomal RNA". It matches the Rfam family "Bacterial small subunit ribosomal RNA", at positions 28 to 507 of the family's 1533-position model. The record is from RNAcentral.
GACGAACGCUGGCGGCGUGCUUAACACAUGCAAGUCGAACGGAAAGGCCCUGCUUGCAGGGUACUCGAGUGGCGAACGGGUGAGUAACACGUGGGUGAUCUGCCCUGCACUUCGGGAUAAGCCUGGGAAACUGGGUCUAAUACCGGAUAGGAGCCAUUUUUAGUGUGAUGGUUGGAAAGUUUUUUCGGUGUAGGAUGAGCUCGCGGCCUAUCAGCUUGUUGGUGGGGUAAUGGCCUACCAAGGCGGCGACGGGUAGCCGGCCUGAGAGGGUGGACGGCCACAUUGGGACUGAGAUACGGCCCAGACUCCUACGGGAGGCAGCAGGGGGGAAGAUUGCACAAUGGGCGCAAGCCUGAUGCAGCGACGCCGCGGGGGGGAUGACGGCCUUCGGGUUGUAAACUCCUUUCGCUAGGGACGAAGCUUUUUGUGACGGUACCUAGAUAAGAAGCACCGGCUAACUACGUG